Molecule: ribosomal RNA, 1183 nt
Filed under: Citrobacter sp. wls617
Lineage: Bacteria; Pseudomonadati; Pseudomonadota; Gammaproteobacteria; Enterobacterales; Enterobacteriaceae
Description: partial 23S ribosomal RNA
Rfam family: Bacterial large subunit ribosomal RNA
Source: RNAcentral
UGGAGCUGAAAUCAGUCGAAGAUACCAGCUGGCUGCAACUGUUUAUUAAAAACACAGCACUGUGCAAACACGAAAGUGGACGUAUACGGUGUGACGCCUGCCCGGUGCCGGAAGGUUAAUUGAUGGGGUUAUCCGUAAGGAGAAGCUCUUGAUCGAAGCCCCGGUAAACGGCGGCCGUAACUAUAACGGUCCUAAGGUAGCGAAAUUCCUUGUCGGGUAAGUUCCGACCUGCACGAAUGGCGUAAUGAUGGCCAGGCUGUCUCCACCCGAGACUCAGUGAAAUUGAACUCGCUGUGAAGAUGCAGUGUACCCGCGGCAAGACGGAAAGACCCCGUGAACCUUUACUAUAGCUUGACACUGAACACUGGUCCUUGAUGUGUAGGAUAGGUGGGAGGCUUUGAAGUGUGGACGCCAGUCUGCAUGGAGCCAACCUUGAAAUACCACCCUUUAAUGGCUGGUGUUCUAACGUGGACCCGUGAUCCGGGUUGCGGACAGUGUCUGGUGGGUAGUUUGACUGGGGCGGUCUCCUCCUAAAGAGUAACGGAGGAGCACGAAGGUUAGCUAAUCCUGGUCGGACAUCAGGAGGUUAGUGCAAAGGCAUAAGCUAGCUUGACUGCGAGAGUGACGGCUCGAGCAGGUGCGAAAGCAGGUCUUAGUGAUCCGGUGGUUCUGAAUGGAAGGGCCAUCGCUCAACGGAUAAAAGGUACUCCGGGGAUAACAGGCUGAUACCGCCCAAGAGUUCAUAUCGACGGCGGUGUUUGGCACCUCGAUGUCGGCUCAUCACAUCCUGGGGCUGAAGUAGGUCCCAAGGGUAUGGCUGUUCGCCAUUUAAAGUGGUACGCGAGCUGGGUUUAGAACGUCGUGAGACAGUUCGGUCCCUAUCUGCCGUGGGCGCUGGAGAAUUGAGGGGGGCUGCUCCUAGUACGAGAGGACCGGAGUGGACGCAUCACUGGUGUUCGGGUUGUCAUGCCAAUGGCAUUGCCCGGUAGCUAAAUGCGGAAGAGAUAAGUGCUGAAAGCAUCUAAGCACGAAACUUGCCCCGAGAUGAGUUCUCCCUGAGACUAUAAGUCUCCUGAAGGAACGUUGAAGACGACGACGUUGAUAGGUCGGGUGUGUAAGUGUAGCGAUACAUUGAGCUAACCGAUACUAAUGAACCGUGAGGCUUAACCUUACAACGCCGAAG